AUUGAACGCUGGCGGCAGGCCUAACACAUGCAAGUCGAACGGUAACAGGAAGCAGCUUGCUGCUUCGCUGACGAGUGGCGGACGGGUGAGUAAUGUCUGGGAAACUGCCUGAUGGAGGGGGAUAACUACUGGAAACGGUAGCUAAUACCGCAUAACGUCGCAAGACCAAAGAGGGGGACCUUAGGGCCUCUUGCCAUCGGAUGUGCCCAGAUGGGAUUAGCUAGUAGGUGGGGUAACGGCUCACCUAGGCGACGAUCCCUAGCUGGUCUGAGAGGAUGACCAGCCACACUGGAACUGAGACACGGUCCAGACUCCUACGGGAGGCAGCAGUGGGGAAUAUUGCACAAUGGGCGCAAGCCUGAUGCAGCCAUGCCGCGUGUAUGAAGAAGGCCUUCGGGUUGUAAAGUACUUUCAGCGGGGAGGAAGGGAGUAAAGUUAAUACCUUUGCUCAUUGACGUUACCCGCAGAAGAAGCGCCUGCUAACUCCGUG
RNAcentral lists this ribosomal RNA (490 nucleotides) under uncultured bacterium. RNAcentral describes it as "partial 16S ribosomal RNA". It matches the Rfam family "Bacterial small subunit ribosomal RNA", at positions 30 to 507 of the family's 1533-position model. The record is from RNAcentral.